GACAGAGGCCUCGAGCGUUAGGCGGAAUCACUGGGCUUAAAGCGUGUGUAGGCGGACCCCUAAGUGUCUUGUGAAAUCCCACGGCUCACCCGUGGAACCGCUGGGCAUACUGGGGGUCUUGGGCCAUUCAGGGGCAACUGGAACAAGCGGUGGAGCGGUGAAAUGCGUAGAUAUCGCUUGGAACGCCGACGGUGAAAACAGGUUGCUGGGAAUGUGCCGACGCUGAGACACGAAAGCCAGGGGAGCAAAGCGGG
This 254-nucleotide ribosomal RNA is filed under the name uncultured bacterium. RNAcentral's name for it is "partial 16S ribosomal RNA". It matches the Rfam family "Bacterial small subunit ribosomal RNA", at positions 524 to 777 of the family's 1533-position model. The record is from RNAcentral.